CCAGGCGGACGAGCGCCGAAGCACCGCCCCCCGUCGCCCGGGGACGGGGGGAAGCGGCGUCCGGCCCAUCCGGACAAACAAAACCUUUCCCGCUGGAAACCCGCCCUUCUUCCCCCGGUAAAAUUGGAGGGGGAUGCCGCCCCGACCGAAGUUCUAAAACUUUGCACCCCAGAUGGGACUCGAACCCACAAUCCCUGGCUUAGGAGGCCAAUGCCUUAUCCAUUAGGCCACUGGGGCUCCGCCGGGGCCCCCUUUCGGUCGUUUCUUUCCUUGCUCAGCGGGCGCGCGUCAUCGAUGUCGUCACCCGCCACGUGACCGCGGCCGCCCCUCGCCGCCAUCGGCCCCCGGGGGAUGCCGGGACUUGGAGUUCGGGGCCCCUCCUCCACCGCCGUCCCUCUGAAGGACACAGGAAAACGACAGCUGGGCCUCAGGGACCCCAAAUCUCUAUUCCCGAAACGGAUCAGAGCAAUCUCGUAAUAUUUAUCUUAUAUUCAUGUCUGCUCCCAAGGGAUGGGACCCUUCACUGUGCUCUUGGAAUCCCCCCAAGCGCUUAGCACAGUGCUCUGCACAAGGCCUGUACUCUUUCCACUCGGCCAUCCUGCUUCUCAUCCGUUGGUGUUAAUCAGCAGAGUCCUUGAGAACUGGGCCCAGGAAGCCCUCCCAGGGGAACCCGACUCAUCCUGCCAUCCUCCACAACCAGGAAUUAAGCUCAGGUCCGGGUCCACAGACGAAAAGACAUCCUGGCAUCUCGAUGGAAAGGACCUUUCCAGAUCCUCCUGACCAUGAACUCCACCGUCAAGUGCCCAAACCUGAACUCUUGCAUCCACGCUUCUCCCGACGAGAAGACUGACCGCUGCCCCUCCUAAGACCAAGACCAAAAAUCCACCGGUUGACGGUGGCAGCUGAGACGACAACAGCGUUUGAAAGGACCUGCACGCCUACCGGAACUUGAAAGAACUCUUGGAAUCAUUUGACUUGCCUAAUCUGUCUAAAACGACACCAGAAAGCCCUUUGACGCAUCCGUCCCUGAGGGUGGUGUCCAAGACGUCAUUACCAAUUAUACCCAUACGUGCUGCUGUGGAAAUCGACGAAAACUAGAGGUGGAACUUAUUGCA
Long non-coding RNA from Ornithorhynchus anatinus (platypus), 1115 nucleotides. RefSeq lists it as uncharacterized. The record is from RefSeq and is a predicted model, not a curated record. The transcript has 3 exons. Lineage: Eukaryota; Metazoa; Chordata; Mammalia; Monotremata; Ornithorhynchidae.